Molecule: long non-coding RNA, 6854 nt
Filed under: Triticum aestivum (bread wheat)
Lineage: Eukaryota; Viridiplantae; Streptophyta; Magnoliopsida; Poales; Poaceae
Description: long non-coding RNA (TAES_LNC028121)
Source: RNAcentral
UUCUUGUUAGUUCUAAGUGAAUUCCCUCGGUAUGAUAAUUUGUUCAUCAGUUUGUUCCCCGUUUCUUCUCUAGCCUGAGCCUGACACACUAUUCUAGCUAGACAUGGGUGUGGCUCGUAACACCUGAUGACCAAACGGAUCUACGACACCAUCGAAUCUCAAACUUUAACUACCAAAACUAUUGUUUUUCAUCCUCUAGUCCCUUUUAGAAUUACUAAACGUCCUUUUUUGGGCCGAGAUUUCCAGGAACGCUUUCUCGGGGUUUGUGUGCAUGUAUUUCAAACCAUACAGACCUAAAAAUUAGAAGUCAUUCCAUCUUUAUUCCCGUAGAGCCUUCCAGCAGUUCCUAAACCGCUCCAGUCGGAGCAUGUUAUCAUUCUUGUUUGUUCUGAGUGAAUUCCCUCGGUAUGAUAAUUCUAUCAUCAGUUUGUUCCCCGUUUCUUCUCUAGCCUGAGCCUGGCAAACUAUUCNNNNNNNNNNNNNNNNNNNNNNNNNNNNNNNNNNNNNNNNNNNNNNNNNNNNNNNNNNNNNNNNNNNNNNNNNNNNNNNNNNNNNNNNNNNNNNNNNNNNNNNNNNNNNNNNNNNNNNNNNNNNNNNNNNNNNNNNCUAAACCGCUCUAGUCGGAGCACGUUAUCAUUCUUGUUAGUUCUGAGUGAAUUCCCUCGGUAUGAUAAUUCUUUCAUCAGUUUGUUCCCUGUUUCUUCUCUAGCCUGAGCCUGACACACUAUUCUAGCUAGACAUGGGUGUGGCUCGUAACACCUAAUGACCAAACGGAUCGACGGCACCAUCGAAUCUCAAACUUUAACUGCCAAAACUAUUGUUUUUCAUCCUGUUGUCCCAUUUAGAAUUACUAAACGUCCUUUUUUGGGCCGAGAUUUAGAGGAACGCUUUCUCGGGGUUUGUGUGCAAGUAUUUCAAACCAUACGGACCUAAAAAUUAGAAGUCAUUCCAUCUUUAUUCCCCUAGAGCCUUCCAGCAGUUCCUAAACCGCUCAAGUCAGAGCAUGUUAUCAUUCUUGUUAGUUCUGAGUGAAUUCCCUCGGUAUGAUAAUUCUUUCAUCAGUUUGUUCCCUGUUUCUUCUCUAGCCUGAGCCUGACACACUAUUCUAGCUAGACAUGGGUGUGGCUCGUAACACCUGAUGACCAAACGGAUCUACGACACCAUUGAAUCUCAAACUUUAACUACCAAAACUAUUAUUUUUCAUCCUGUAGUCCCUUUUAGAAUUACUAAACGUCCUUUUUUGGGCCGAGAUUUCCAAGAACGCUUUCUCGUGGUUUGUGUGCAAGUAUUUCAAACCAUACAGACCUAAAAAUUAGAAGUCAUUCCAUCUUUAUGCCCGUAGAGCCUUCCAGCAGUUCCUAAACCGCUCCAGUCGGAGCACGUUAUCAUUCUUAUUAGUUCUGAGUGAAUUCCCUCAGUAUGAUAAUUCUUUCAUAAGUUUGUUCCCCAUUUCUUCUCUAGCCUGAGCCUGGCACACUAUUCUAGCUAGACAUGGGUGUGGCUCAUAACACUUGUUGACUAAAUGGAUCGACGGCACCAUCGAAUCUCAAACUUUAACUGCCAAAACUAUUGUUUUUCAUCCUGUAGUCCCAUUUAGAAUUAUUAAACGUCCUUUUUUGGGCCGAUAUUUAGAGUAAUGCUUUCUCGGGGUUUGUCUGCAAGUAUUUCAAACCAUACGGACCUAAAAAUUAGAAGUCAUUCCAUCUUUAUUCCCCUAGAGCCUUCCAGCAGUUCCUAAACCGCUCUAGUCGGAGCACGUUAUCAUUCUUGUUAGUUCUGAGUGAAUUCCCUCAGUAUGAUAAUUCUUUCAUCUGUUUGUUCCCCGUUUCUUCUCUAGCCUGAGCCUGACACACUAUUCAAGCUAGACAUGGAUGUGGCUCGUAACACCUGAUGACCAAACGGAUCUACGGCACCAUCGAAUCCCAAACUUUAACUGCCAAAACUAUUGUUUUUCAUCCUGUAGUCCCUUUUAGAAUUACUAAACGUCCUUUUUUGGGCCGAGAUUUCCAGGAAUGCUUUCUCGGGGUUUGUGUGCAAGUAUUUCAAACCAUACAAAGCUAGAAAUUAGAAGUCAUUCCAUCUUUAUUAUCGUAGAGCCUUCCAGCAGUUCCUAAACCGGUCUAGUCGGAGCACGUUAUCAUUCUAGUUAGUUCUGAGUGAAUUCCCUCGGUAUGAUAAUUCUUUCAUCAGUUUGUUCCCCGUUUCUUCUCUAGCCUGAGCCUGACAAACUAUUCUAGCUAGACAUGCGUGUGGCUCGUAACACCUGAUGACCAAACGGAUCUAUAGCACCAUCGAAUCUCAAACUUUAACUGCCAAAACUAUUGUUUUCAUCCUGUAGUCCCUUUUAGAAUUACUAAACUUCCUUUUUUGGGCCGAGAUUUAGAGGAACGCUUUCUGGGGUUUGUGUGCAAGUAUUUCAAACCAUACAGACCUAAAAAUUAGAAGUCAUUCCAUCUUUAUUCCCCUAGAGCCUUCCAGCAGUUCCUAAACCGCUCUAGUCGGAGCACGUUAUCAUUAUUGUUAGUUCUGAGUGAAUUCCCUCGGUAUGAUAAUUCUUUCAUCAGUUUGUUCCCUGUUUCUUCUCUAUCCUGAGCCUGACACACUAUUCUAGCUAGACAUGGGUGUGGCUCGUAACACCUGAUGACUAAAUGGAUCGACGGCACCAUCGAAUCUCAAACUUUAACUGCCAAAACUAUUGUUUUUCAUCCUGUAGUCCCAUUUAGAAUUAGUAAACGUCCUUUUUUGGGCCGAGAUUUAGAGGAACGCUUUCUCGGGGUUUGUGUGCAAGUAUUUCAAACCAUACGGACCUAAAAAUUAGAAGUCAUUCCAUCUUUAUUCCCCUAGUCAUCAGGUAUACACUCAAGUCGGAGCACGUUAUCAUUCUUGUUAGUUCUGAGUGAAUUCCCUCGGUAUGAUAAUUCUUUCAUAAAUUUGUUCCCCGUUUCUUAUAUGGCCUGAGCCUGACACACUAUUCUAGCUAGACAUGGGUGUGGCUCGUAACACCUGAUGACCAAACGGAUCUACGGCACCAUCAAAUCUCAAACUUUAACUGCCAAAACUAUUCUUUUUCAUUCUGUAGUCCCUUCUAGAAUUACUAAACGUCCUUUUUUGGGCCGAGAUUUCCAGGAACGCUUUCUCGGGGUUUGUGUGCAUGUAUUUCAAACCAUACAGACCUAAAAAUUAUAAGUCAUUCCAUCUUUAUUCCCGUAGAGCCUUCCAGUAGUUCCUAAACCGCUCCAGUCGGAGCAUGUUAUCAUUCUUGUUAGUUCUAAGUGAAUUCCCUCGGUAUGAUAAUUCUUUCAUCAGUUUGUUCCCCGUUUCUUCUCUAGCCUGAGCCUGGCACACUAGUCUAGCUAGACAUGGGUGUGGCUCGUAACACCCGAUGACUAAAUGGAUCGACGGCACCAUCGAAUCUCAAACUUUAACUGCCAAAACUAUUGUUUUUCAUCCUGUAGUCCCAUUUAGAAUUACUAAACGUCCUUUUUUGGGCCGAGAUUUAGAGGAACGCUUUCUCGUGGUUUGUGUGCAAGAAUUUCAAACCAUACGGACCUAAAAAUUAGAAGUCAUUCCAUCUUUAUUCCCCUAGAGCCUUCCAGUAGUUCCUAAACCGCUCUAGUCGGAGCACGUUAUCAUUCUUGUUAGUUCUGAGAGAAUUCCCUCGGUAUGAUAAUUCUUUUAUCAGUUUGUUCCCCGUUUCUUCUCUAGCCUGAGCCCGACACACUAUUCUAGCUAGACAUGGGUGUGGCUCGUAACACCUGAUGACCAAACGGAUCUACGGCACCAUCGAAUCUCAAACUUUAACUGCCAAAACUAUUGUUUUUCAUCCUGUAGUCCCUUUUAGAAUUACUAAAUGUCCUUUUUUGGGCCGAGAUUUCCAGGAACGCUUUCUCAGGGUUUGUGUGCAAGUAAUUCAAACCAUACGGACCUAAAAAUUAGAAGUCAUUCCAUCUUUAUUCCCCUAGAGCCUUCCAGCAGUUCCUAAACCGCUCAAGUCAGUGCACGUUAUCAUUCUUGUUAGUUCUAAGUGAAUUCCCUCGGUAUGAUAAUUUGUUCAUCAGUUUGUUCCCCGUUUCUUCUCUAGCCUGAGCCUGACACACUAUUCUAGCUAGACAUGGGUGUGGCUCGUAACACCUGAUGACCAAACGGAUCUACGACACCAUCGAAUCUCAAACUUUAACUACCAAAACUAUUGUUUUUCAUCCUCUAGUCCCUUUUAGAAUUACUAAACGUCCUUUUUUGGGCCGAGAUUUCCAGGAACGCUUUCUCGGGGUUUGUGUGCAUGUAUUUCAAACCAUACAGACCUAAAAAUUAGAAGUCAUUCCAUCUUUAUUCCCGUAGAGCCUUCCAGCAGUUCCUAAACCGCUCCAGUCGGAGCAUGUUAUCAUUCUUGUUUGUUCUGAGUGAAUUCCCUCGGUAUGAUAAUUCUAUCAUCAGUUUGUUCCCCGUUUCUUCUCUAGCCUGAGCCUGGCAAACUAUUCUAGCUAGACAUGGGUGUGGCUCGUAACACCUGAUGACCAAACGGAUCUACGACACCAUCGAAUCUCAAACUUUAACUACCAAAACUAUUGUUUUUCAUUCUAUAGUCCCUUCUAGAAUUUCUAAACGUCCUUUUUUGGGCCGAGAUUUCCAGGAAUGCUUUCUCGGGGUUUGUGUGCAAGUAUUUCAAAUCAUACGGACCUAAAAAUUAGAAGUCAUUCCAUCUUUAUUCCCCUAGAGCCUUCCAGUAGUUCCUAAACCGCUCCAGUCGGAGCACGUUAUCAUUCUUGUUAGUUCAUAGUGAAUUCCCUCGGUAUGAUAAUUCUUUCAUCAGUUUGUUCCCCGUUUCUUCUCUAGCCUGAGCCUGGCACAGUAUUCUAGCUAGACAUGGGUGUGGUCGUAACACCUGAUGACUAAAUGGAUCGACGGCACCAUCGAAUCUCAAACUUUAACUGCCAAAACUAUUGUUUUUCAUCCUGUAAUCCCAUUUAGAAUUACUAAACGUCCUUUUUUGGGCCGAGAUUUAGAGGAACGCUUUGUUGGGGUUUGUGUGCAAGUAUUUCAAACCAUACGGACCUAAAAAUUAGAACUCAUUCCAUAUUUAUUCCCCUUGAGCCUUCCAGCAGUUCCUAAACCGCUCUAGUCGGAGCACGUUAUCAUUCUUGUUAGUUCUAAGAGAAUUCCCUCGGUAUGAUAAUUCUUUUAUCAGUUUGUUCCCCGUUUCUUCUCUAGACUGGGCCCGACACACUAUUCUAGCUAGACAUGGGUGUGGCUCGUAACACCUGAUGACCAAACGGAUCUACGGCACCAUCGAAUCUCAAACUUCAACUGCCAAAACUAUUGUUUUUCAUCCUGUAGUCCCUUUUAGAAUUACUAAACGUCCUUUUUUGGGCCGAGAUUUCCAGGAACGCUUUCUCGGGGUUUGUGUGCAAGUAUUUCAAACCAUACGGACCUAAAAAUUAGAAGUCAUUCCAUCUUUAUUCCCGUAGAGCCAUCCAGCAGUUCCUAAACCGCUCCAGUCGGAGCACGUUAUCAUUCUUGUUAGUUCUGAGUGAAUUCCCUCGGUAUGAUAAUUCUUUCAUCAGUUUGUUCCCCGUUUCUUCUCUAGCCUGAGCCUGACAAACUAUUAUAGCUAGACAUGGGUGUGGCUCGUAACACCUGAUGACCAAACGGAUCUAUGGCACCAUCGAAUCUCAAACUUUAACUGCCAAAACUAUUGUUUUUCAUCCUGUAGUCCCUUUUAGAAUUACUAAACGCCCUUCUUUGGGACGAGAUUUCCAGGAACGCUUUCUCGGGGUUUGUGUGAAAGUAAUUCAAACCAUACGGACCUAAAAAUUAGAAGUCAUUCCAUCUUUAUUCCCGUGGAGCCUUCCAGUAGUUCCUAAACCGCUCCAGUCGGAGCACGUUAUCAUUCUUGUUAGUUCUGAGUGAAUUCCCUCGGUAUGAUAAUUCUUUCAUCAGUUUGUUCCCUGUUUCUUCUCUAGCCUGAGCCUGGCACACUAUUCUAGCUAGACAUGGGUGUGGCUCGUAACACCUGAUGACUAAACUGAUCAAUGACACCAUCGAAUCUCAAACUUUAACUGCCAAAACUAUUGUUUUUCAUCCUGUAGUCCCAUUUAGAAUUACUAAACGUCCUUUUUUGGGCCGAGAUUUCCAGGAACGCUUACUCGGGGUUUGUGUGCAAGUAUUUCAAACCAUACUGACCUAAAAAUUAGAAGUCAAUCCAUCUUUAUUCCCCUAGAGCCUUCCAGCAGUUCCUAAACCGCUCCAGUCGGAGCACGUUAUCAUUCUUGUUAGUUCUGAGUGAAUUCCCUCGGUAUGAUAAUUCUUUCAUCAGUUUGUUCCUUGUUUCUUCUCUAGCCUGAACCUGACACACUAUUCUAGCUAGACAUGGGUGUGGCUCGUAACACCUGAUGACCAAACGGAUCUACGGCACCAUCGAAUCUCAAACUUUAACUGCCAAAACUAUUAUUUUUAAUCCUCUAGUCCCAUUUAGAAUUACUAAACGUCCUUUUUUGGGCCGAGAUUUAGAGGAACGCUUUCAUGCGGUUUGUGUGCAAGUAUUUCAAACCAUACGGACCUAAAAAUUAGAAGUCAUUCCAUCUUUAUUCCCCUAGAGCCUUCCAGCAGUUCCUAAACCGCUCCAGUCGGAGCAUGUUAUCAUUCUUGUUAGUUCUGAGUGAAUUCCCUCGGUAUGAUAAUUCUUUCAUCAGUUUGUGGCCCGUUUCUUCUCUAGCCUGAGCCUGACACACUAUUCUAGCUAGACGUGGGUGUGGCUCGUAACACCUGAUGACCAAACGGAUCUACGGCACCAUCGAAUCUCAAACUUUAAGUGCCAAAACUAUUAUUUUUAAUCCUGUAGUCCCAUUUAGAAUUAC